Molecule: ribosomal RNA, 579 nt
Filed under: uncultured bacterium
Lineage: Bacteria
Description: partial 16S ribosomal RNA
Rfam family: Bacterial small subunit ribosomal RNA
Source: RNAcentral
UGGGAAUUUGGACAAUGGGCGAAGCCUGAUCCAGCAAUGCCGCGUGUGUGAAGAAGGCCUUCGGGUUGUAAAGCACUUUUGUCCGGAAAGAAAUCCUUGGCUCUAAUACAGUCGGGGGAUGACGGUACCGGAAGAAUAAGCACCGGCUAACUACGUGCCAGCAGCCGCGGUAAUACGUAGGGUGCAAGCGUUAAUCGGAAUUACUGGGCGUAAAGCGUGCGCAGGCGGUUUGCUAAGACCGAUGUGAAAUCCCCGGGCUCAACCUGGGAACUGCAUUGGUGACUGGCAGGCUAGAGUAUGGCAGAGGGGGGUAGAAUUCCACGUGUAGCAGUGAAAUGCGUAGAGAUGUGGAGGAAUACCGAUGGCGAAGGCAGCCCCUGGCAAUACUGACGCUCAUGCACGAAAGCGUGGGGAGCAAACAGGAUUAGAUACCCUGGUAGUCCACGCCCUAAAACGAUGUCAACUAGUUGUUGGGGAUUCAUUCCUUAGUAACGUAGCUAACGCGUGAAGUUGACCGCCUGGGGAGUACGGUCGCAAGAUUAAAACUCAAAUGAAUUGACGGGGUCAUAGCUGUUUCCU